UUCUCUUCAAGAAUGCCAAAGUCCACAGUGCAUGGAGCCGGUGGAGAAGAUGAGCGAAGGUGAAGAGGAGGAGAAUGAAGAGAAGGAGAACAGAUAGAGGAGAGAUGUUGCAUAGUGGGCCCUAAGAAGACUGAGACUCAAGCUAAUGUGCAUCUGAAUCCCCUGAGGAUCCCGUUAAAUGCAGACUCUGAUUCAGUAGGUCUGAAGUGGAGUCUGAAAUUCUGCAUUUCUAACAAGUUCCCAGGUAAUGCCAAGGCUGCAGGUCUAUGGAUCUCACUUGAGAAGCCAGGCCCUAGCGUGGUUUGCACCUUUGUAGAAAGAGUAUGGAGGCACUCUCCCUCACUGCUGCUGUCCUUACUUUCUGGCUCUCUCUUAGACCUGUCACCUCCUCGAUCACUAACAAUGCUUCUUUGUGCUUCAUGCCGAGAAUGAGGAAGUUUUUACACAGCUUCCUUCAAAACUGCACGGGAGUCAUCUUCGCUCCUAAAGUUCCUCCCACAGCUUCUCCAUCCC
Long non-coding RNA from Choloepus didactylus (southern two-toed sloth), 513 nucleotides. RefSeq lists it as uncharacterized. The record is from RefSeq and is a predicted model, not a curated record. The transcript is spliced from 3 exons. NCBI's taxonomy places the organism in Eukaryota, Metazoa, Chordata, Mammalia, Pilosa, Megalonychidae.